GCCGUAACAUAGACAGUUCACAUACCCUACAUGUCCGCCCGGGAACUACGAGCACCAGCUUAAAACCCAAAGGACUUGGCGGUGCUUUACACCCACCUAGAGGAGCCUGUUCUAGAACCGAUAAUCCCCGUUCAACCUCACCCUUCCUUGUUCUUUCCGCCUAUAUACCGCCGUCGUCAGUUUACCCCAUGAGGGCCUAAUAGUAAGCAAAAUCGGCACAACCCAAAACGUCAGGUCGAGGUGUAGCGUAUGGAAGGGGAAGAAAUGGGCUACAUUCCCUACUAUAGGGUAUACGAAUGAUUUCGCUGAAAUGCAUUUCUGAAGGAGGAUUUAGCAGUAAGCAGGAAGUAGAGUGUCUUGCUGAAACCGGCUCUGAAGCGUGCACACACCGCCCGUCACCCUCCCCCAAGUCAA
RNAcentral lists this ribosomal RNA (414 nucleotides) under Pomacanthus maculosus (yellowbar angelfish). Its description in RNAcentral is "partial 12S ribosomal RNA". It matches the Rfam family "Bacterial small subunit ribosomal RNA", at positions 799 to 1415 of the family's 1533-position model. Lineage: Eukaryota; Metazoa; Chordata; Actinopteri; Pomacanthidae. The record is from RNAcentral.